AGGACGAACGCUGGCGGCGUGCCUAACACAUGCAAGUCGAGCGAGGAGAUCCUCGGGAUGAUCCUAGCGGCGGACGGGUGAGUAACACGUGGGCAACCUGCCUCAUAGAGAGGAAUAGCCUUCCGAAAGGGAGAUUAAUACCUCAUAACAUUGCAGUUUCGCAUGAAACAGCAAUUAAAGGAGCAAUCCGCUAUGAGAUGGGCCCCGCGGCGCAUUAGCUAGUUGGUGAGGUAACGGCUCACCAAGGCGACGAUGCGUAGCCGACCUGAGAGGGUGAUCGGCCACAUUGGGACUGAGACACGGCCCAGACUCCUACGGGAGGCAGCAGUGGGGAAUAUUGCACAAUGGGGGAAACCCUGAUGCAAGCAACGCCGCGUGAGUGAUGACGGCCUUCGGGUUGUAAAGCUCUGUCUUCAGGGACGAUAAUGACGGUACCUGAGGAGGAAGCCACGGCUAACUACGUGCCAGCCGCAGC
RNAcentral lists this ribosomal RNA (475 nucleotides) under uncultured bacterium. RNAcentral describes it as "bacterial SSU rRNA". It matches the Rfam family "Bacterial small subunit ribosomal RNA", at positions 26 to 518 of the family's 1533-position model. The record is from RNAcentral.